CCCUUAGAUGUUCUGGGCCGCACGCGCGCUACACUGACGGAGGCAGCGAGCGUGUCCUUCGCCGGCAGGUGCGGGCAAUCUUGCGAGUCUCCGUCGUGCUGGGGAUAGAUGGUUGCAAUUGUCGAUCUUGAACGAGGAAUUCCUAGUAAGCGCGAGUCAUCAGCUCGCGCUGAAUACGUCCCUGCCCUUUGUACACACCGCCCGUCGCUCCUACCGAUUGAGUGGUCCGGUGAGGCUUUGGGAUCUGAGCGGAAAGAGCGUUUCGCUGUUUCUGCUCGGAAAACUCAGUCGAACCUUAUCAUUUAGAGGAAGGAGAAGUCGUAACA
RNAcentral lists this ribosomal RNA (326 nucleotides) under uncultured eukaryote. RNAcentral describes it as "partial 18S ribosomal RNA". It matches the Rfam family "Eukaryotic small subunit ribosomal RNA", at positions 1470 to 1796 of the family's 1831-position model. The record is from RNAcentral.